This is a non-coding RNA of Ameiurus melas (black bullhead), 74 nucleotides long. Lineage: Eukaryota; Metazoa; Chordata; Actinopteri; Siluriformes; Ictaluridae. The record is from the annotation of a GenBank genome assembly.
GGUGGUGGUGGCUUAGUCGUUAGCACGUUUGCCUCACACCCACGGGGUUGGGGGUUGGAAUCCCACCUCCAUCU